Molecule: long non-coding RNA, 953 nt
Filed under: Helianthus annuus (common sunflower)
Lineage: Eukaryota; Viridiplantae; Streptophyta; Magnoliopsida; Asterales; Asteraceae
Description: hypothetical non coding rna
Source: RNAcentral
GAUGUUGUUGAAUUCAUAAUCGAUAACUAAAACUGUAUAAGAGAAAAACCUUCUUAAUCUCAAUCUAUUUAAAUAAACCUCCAUCAAAUCAACAACCAUUGUCUGAAUCGCAACCUUCCUUUUAAUUUUCCUCUUAUCCCAAACACUCGUAUCCUUCAAUCUCCCCAAACCUCGAGGCGCCCCGCUUUCAUUCGGACUACACACAUAUCCAAACACCAUUUCAAAUCAAACAAAACACUAAAUAGUAACCAAUUCAAAUAUCUAAACAAGUAUACAUAUACAAUAUACAUACAUAUUAUAUCGAUAAAGAAACUUACACGCUCGUUGCUGCUGCUGCUUCACAAGCUGUAUAUACUUCUCAACCUCUUCAUCCGUUACAUCGGCACCGGAAUCCUGUUUAUACCUACCGGAAUUCCGCUUCGUGAUUCGGUCGUGAACUCUUGUUUCAGAGUUCUGUCAUUGAAAGUGGAAAUUAGGUCAGAUUCAGAUUCCGGACUCUUAAAACGAGUGAUUCGGUCAGGACCGGUGGCGAUGAUUGUUGUGGUUGGUCUGAAGAAUGGUGUGGAUAGCCGGAACGGGGAGGAGGCGUGAAGGAGGUGCGGCGGUGACGGCGAAGGAUGGGCGGAGAACGACGGUGAGGGUUUAAGGAUAAGGGUGGCCGCCAUGGCCGGAGUUGAGGGAGAAGGGGCUCCGGGAAACCAUAAGCGGAGGAUUUUGGUGGUGAUGGUAGCAGGCCUACACAAUUUACAUACCCAAAGUUAGUUGUCUAUUUAAUACCCAAAUUAAUACCCUAAAAACUGAAAUGACAAUAAUACCCUCAUGUGCAAUUCACAUAAUCAGAUUUAACAGAAAAAUCUAACUGGGUUAGGGCUAAAGGACAUAACAUGCAAAAUUGUAAAACAUUAAGUACAAGACUCGUCAAUUUAAAAGAUAAAGGACACCGCCUGAAAUCC